This 253-nucleotide ribosomal RNA is filed under the name uncultured bacterium. RNAcentral's name for it is "partial 16S ribosomal RNA". It matches the Rfam family "Bacterial small subunit ribosomal RNA", at positions 524 to 776 of the family's 1533-position model. The record is from RNAcentral.
UACGGGGGGGGCAAGCGUUGUUCGGAAUUACUGGGCGUAAAGGGUUCGUAGGUGGCUGGCUAAGUCAGACGUGAAAUCCCUCAGCUUAACUGGGGAACUGCGUCUGAGACUGGCGAGCUUGAGUGCAGGAGAGGAACGCGGAAUUCCAGGUGUAGCGGUGAAAUGCGUAGAUAUCUGGAGGAACACCGGUGGCGAAGGCGGCGUUCUGGACUGUAACUGACACUGAGGAACGAAAGCCAGGGUAGCAAACGGG